UACUCCUACGGGAGGCAGCAGUGGGGAAUCUUCCGCAAUGGACGAAAGUCUGACGGAGCAACGCCGCGUGAGUGAUGACGGCCUUCGGGUUGUAAAGCCCUGUUAAUCGGGACGAAAGGCCUUCUUGCGAAUAGUGAGAAGGAUUGACGGUACCGGAAUAGAAAGCCACGGCUAACUACGUGCCAGCAGCCGCGGUAAUACGUAGGUGGCAAGCGUUGUCCGGAAUUAUUGGGCGUAAAGCGCGCGCAGGCGGAUAGGUCAGUCUGUCUUAAAAGUUCGGGGCUUAACCCCGUGAUGGGAUGGAAACUGCCAAUCUAGAGUAUCGGAGAGGAAAGUGGAAUUCCUAGUGUAGCGGUGAAAUGCGUAGAUAUUAGGAAGAACACCAGUGGCGAAGGCGACUUUCUGGACGAAAACUGACGCUGAGGCGCGAAAGCCAGGGGAGCGAACGGGAUUAGAUACCCCGGUAGUCCUGGCCGUAAACGAUGGGUACUAGGUGUAGGAGGUAUCGACCCCUUCUGUGCCGGAGUUAACGCAAUAAGUACCCCGCCUGGGGAGUACGACCGCAAGGUUGAAACUCAAAUGAAUUGACGGA
This 592-nucleotide ribosomal RNA is filed under the name uncultured bacterium. RNAcentral describes it as "bacterial SSU rRNA". It matches the Rfam family "Bacterial small subunit ribosomal RNA", at positions 334 to 917 of the family's 1533-position model. The record is from RNAcentral.